This 87-nucleotide transfer RNA is filed under the name Chloroflexota bacterium. RNAcentral describes it as "tRNA-Leu". It matches the Rfam family "tRNA". From Rfam's summary of the family: Transfer RNA (tRNA) molecules are approximately 80 nucleotides in length. Their secondary structure includes four short double-helical elements and three loops (D, anti-codon, and T loops). The record is from RNAcentral. RNAcentral also lists the same sequence under 2 other names. Lineage: Bacteria; Bacillati; Chloroflexota.
GCCAAAGUGGUGAAAUCGGUAGACACGCAACGUUCAGGGCGUUGUGCUCGCAAGGGCAUGGGGGUUCGAGUCCCCCCUUUGGCACCA